UCAUACUCAAUGAAUGAAGUGACAACCACGUUUGAAAUCACUUGAACAUCAGCAACGAGACAAUCAAGGUCUACUGCAACUAAAGUUAAAAUCGUUUUUGAGAUUUGUUACAUGUUUUACAUUCUGUUAAUUUCGUUAAGUUAAUUGAAGGGGUGCACAAGUUUUCUUUAGUUAUUUAAGUACUUGAUUUCUACGUGAUUCACAUUGUUUCCUAUUAUGUCACCGCCAUGCUUCCUGAACGUGAUGAUUCAGUUGUGGGAGAUGUAACUUCAUGAAACAAGCUCUGGAGAUUUGACAUGGUUGUGCGUCUACCUGUCUCAUGCUGUGAAGAAAAAUGUAGAGGAUUGUCUUUUUUGUUGGUGGUGCUGGGAUGUUGGAUAACAGGU
Molecule: long non-coding RNA, 386 nt
Filed under: Daphnia pulicaria
Lineage: Eukaryota; Metazoa; Arthropoda; Branchiopoda; Diplostraca; Daphniidae
Description: uncharacterized LOC124328787, transcript variant X2
Source: RNAcentral